RNAcentral lists this ribosomal RNA (465 nucleotides) under uncultured bacterium. RNAcentral describes it as "partial 16S ribosomal RNA". It matches the Rfam family "Bacterial small subunit ribosomal RNA", at positions 338 to 795 of the family's 1533-position model. The record is from RNAcentral.
CCUACGGGAGGCAGCAGUAGGGAAUCUUGCACAAUGGACGAAAGUCUGAUGGAGCAACGCCGCGUGAGUGAAGAAGGGUUUCGGCUCGUAAAGCUCUGUUGGCAGUGAAGAAAGAUAGAGGUAGUAACUUGCCUCUAUUUGACGGUAAUCACUUAGAAAGUCACGGCUAACUAUGUGCCAGAAGCCGCGGCAAUACGUAGGUGGGAAGCGUUGUGCGGAUUUAGUGUGCGUAAGGCGAGUGCAGGCGGUUCAAUAAGUCUGAUGUGAAAGCCUUCGGCUCAACCGGAGAAUUGCAUCGGAAACUGUUGAACUUGAGUGCAGAAGAGGAGAGUGGAACUCCAGGUGUAGCGGUGGAAUGCGUAGAUAUAUGGAAGAACACCAGUGGCGAAGGCGGCUCGCUGGACUGCAACUGACGCUGAGGCUCGAAAGCAUGGGUAGCGAACAGGAUUAGAUACCCCUGUAGUC